RNAcentral lists this unclassified non-coding RNA (378 nucleotides) under plant metagenome. Its description in RNAcentral is "partial contains 5.8S ribosomal RNA, internal transcribed spacer 2, and large subunit ribosomal RNA". The stretch from base 1 to 105 matches the Rfam family "5.8S ribosomal RNA", at positions 50 to 154 of the family's 154-position model. The record is from RNAcentral.
GAAAUGCGAUAAGUAAUGUGAAUUGCAGAAUUCAGUGAAUCAUCGAAUCUUUGAACGCAUCUUGCGCUCCUUGGUAUUCCUUGGAGCAUGCCUGUUUGAGUAUCAUGAAAUCUUCAAAGUAAAUCUUUUGUUAACUCAAUUGGUUUCUACUUUGGUAUUGGAGGUCUUUGCAGCUUCACACCUGCUCCUCUUUGUUCAUUAGCUGGAUCUCAGUGUUAUGCUUGGCUCCACUCGGCGUGAUAAGUUAUCUAUCGCUGAGGACACUGUAAAAGGUGGCCAAGGUAAAUGCAGAUGAACCGCUUCUAAUAGUCCAUUGACUUGGACAAUACUUUUAUGAUCUGAUCUCAAAUCAGGUAGGACUACCCGCUGAACUUAAGC